AAUAUUGCUCAAUGGAGGGAACUCUUACGCAGCGACGCCGCGUGAGCGAUGAAGGUCUUCGGAUCGUAAAUCUCUGUCCUUGGGGCAGCAGAUCUUCGGCUUUGACGGUACCCAAGGAGGAAGCCCCGGCUAACUACGUUCCAGCAGCCGCGGUAAUACGUAGGGGGCAAGCGUUGUCCGGAAUUAUUGGGCGUAAAGGGUGAGUAGGCGGCCUUUUAAGUCAGAUGUGAAAGACCACGGCUUAACCGUGGGGUUGCAUUUGAAAAUGGAGGGCUUGAGUAUCGGAGAGGGUAGUGGAAUUCCCAGUGUAGCGGUGGAAUGCGUAGAUAUUGGGAGGAACACCAGUGGCGAAGGCGACUACCUGGACGAAAACUGACGCUGAUGCACGAAAGCUAGGGGAGCAAACA
Molecule: ribosomal RNA, 407 nt
Filed under: uncultured bacterium
Lineage: Bacteria
Description: partial 16S ribosomal RNA
Rfam family: Bacterial small subunit ribosomal RNA
Source: RNAcentral